Molecule: unclassified non-coding RNA, 356 nt
Filed under: Hevea brasiliensis (rubber tree)
Lineage: Eukaryota; Viridiplantae; Streptophyta; Magnoliopsida; Malpighiales; Euphorbiaceae
Source: RNAcentral
GCCAUUUGUAAUAGGCGAUGAGUUGAUUCUUGAGAGGACAGAGUCAUGAAUUGAUUCCGUCACAAAUGCGAUGGCCCAUUGGGGAAUUGGAGGAGAGGGAAUGAGCCAAGAACCGAAUCAAGGGGAAUUAGAGAAGAGGAAAGAGGGAAACAGCAAGGAGGAGGAGGAGGGAGGGGAAACGGUGAGAAGAAGAAUAAGAAUGGUACAGAUGGUGUGGCUCAUGUGUGAUGGGCUAAUGGCUUUAAGCAGUAGAGCAGAAGAGAGCUUUAUAUUAGACAGUAGCAUCUAGAUAUAAAACAGCAUAACAUUGCUAAGUGAGUAAAAUCGAAUUGAAACCAAACUGAUCAACUGAAAAA